RNAcentral lists this ribosomal RNA (465 nucleotides) under uncultured bacterium. Its description in RNAcentral is "partial 16S ribosomal RNA". It matches the Rfam family "Bacterial small subunit ribosomal RNA", at positions 28 to 507 of the family's 1533-position model. The record is from RNAcentral.
GACGAACGCUGGCGGCGUGCUUAACACAUGCAUGUCGAACGGAAAGGCCCCUUCGGGGGUCCUCGCGUGGCGAACAGGUGCGUAACACGUGCGUAACCUGCCCUUGACUUCGGGAUAACUUCAGGAAACUGGGGCUAAUACCGGCUAGGAAUCCUUGCUGCAUGGUGGGGGUUGGAAAGCUUCGGCGGUUUUGGAUGGACUCGCGGCUUAUCAGCUUGUUGGUGGGGUAGUGGCUUACCAAGGCUUUGACGGGAAGCCGGCCUGAGAGGGCGACCCGCCACAUAGCGACUUAGAUACGGCCCAGGCUACGACUGGAAGCAGCAGUGGGGAAGAGUGACUGAAUGGCGGAAGCCGGAUGAAGCAAAGCCGCGUGCGGGAUGACGGUCUUCAGGGUGCAAACCGCAUGCAGAAGGGGACAAGCCUGUGGUGACGGUACCUGCAGAAGAAGCACCGGCUAACUACGUG